RNAcentral lists this ribosomal RNA (551 nucleotides) under Physarum diderma. RNAcentral's name for it is "SSU rRNA". It matches the Rfam family "Eukaryotic small subunit ribosomal RNA", at positions 17 to 517 of the family's 1831-position model. The record is from RNAcentral. Lineage: Eukaryota; Evosea; Eumycetozoa; Physariida; Physaraceae.
CCAGUAGUGUAUGCUUCUCCUAAAGACUAAGCCAUGCAUGUCUCCGAAUAGAAGAGCAAUUCUCUCUGAAUCUGCGAACGGCUCCGCAAACCAGUUGUAAACUACAGCAAGCAAGCUCCGGUGCCGAUCGAAAGGUUGGUGCUGGGGCGAUAAGGAUAACCCUGGUAAUUCUGAGGCUAAUACAAGAACGUAACACCUGGCCGACCGGCAACGGAAGGCUGGGGUGCGUGUGAUAUAGAGGCAAAGUUUUGCUGGGAAUGGACACAUGCUCUGACCACCAUACCAAACAGUCUCCAAGCCUGGGUUCGCCCGGGUGCGGUCUCUGGGUGGCUCUUGCUUUGUGCUUCUGACCUAUCAACUAGAUGGCAGCGUAACGGACAUGCUAUGGUGACAACGGGUACAGAGGAUAAGGGUUCGAUCCUGGAGAGUGGGCCUGAGAGAUUGCUCACACUUCUAAGGAAGGCAGCAGGCGCGCAACGUUCCCCUUGGGCAAAGCCCGAGGGCGUUAGGGGACAUAUGAAUGCCUGCCUUAUGGUGGGCAAUUCAAAUGG